Molecule: ribosomal RNA, 468 nt
Filed under: uncultured bacterium
Lineage: Bacteria
Description: partial 16S ribosomal RNA
Rfam family: Bacterial small subunit ribosomal RNA
Source: RNAcentral
GACGAACGCUGGCGGCGUGCUUAACACAUGCAAGUCGAACGGAAAGGCCCUGCUUUUGUGGGGUGCUCGAGUGGCUAACGGGUGAGUAACACGUGAGUAACCUGCCCUUGACUUUGGGAUAACUUCAGGAAACUGCGGCUAAUACCGGAUAGGAGCUCCUGCUGCAUGGUGGGGGGUGGAAAGUUUCGGCGGUUGGGGAUGGACUCGCGGCUUAUCAGCUUGUUGGUGGGGUAGUGGCUUACCAAGGCUUUGACGGGUAGCCGGCCUGAGAGGGUGACCGGCCACAUUGGGACUGAGAUACGGCCCAGACUCCUACGGGAGGCAGCAGUGGGGAAUAUUGCACAAUGGGCGGAAGCCUGAUGCAGCAACGCCGCGUGCGGGAUGACGGCCUUCGGGUUGUAAACCGCUUUCGCCUGUGACGAAGCGUGAGUGACGGUAAUGGGUAAAGAAGCACCGGCUAACUACGUG